RNAcentral lists this ribosomal RNA (470 nucleotides) under uncultured organism. RNAcentral's name for it is "partial 16S ribosomal RNA". It matches the Rfam family "Bacterial small subunit ribosomal RNA", at positions 335 to 797 of the family's 1533-position model. The record is from RNAcentral.
ACUCCUACGGGAGGCAGCAGUGGGGAAUUUUGGACAAUGGGCGAAAGCCUGAUCCAGCAAUGCCGCGUGUGUGAAGAAGGCCUUCGGGUUGUAAAGCACUUUUGUCCGGAAAGAAAUCCUUGGCUCUAAUACAGUCGGGGGAUGACGGUACCGGAAGAAUAAGCACCGGCUAACUAUGUGCCAGCAGCCGCGGUAAUACGUAGGGUGCGAGCGUUAAUCGGAAUUACUGGGCGUAAAGCGUGCGCAGGCGGUUUGCUAAGACCGAUGUGAAAUCCCCGGGCUCAACCUGGGAACUGCAUUGGUGACUGGCAGGCUAGAGUAUGGCAGAGGGGGGUAGAAUUCCACGUGUAGCAGUGAAAUGCGUAGAGAUGUGGAGGAAUACCGAUGGCGAAGGCAGCCCCCUGGGCCAAUACUGACGCUCAUGCACGAAAGCGUGGGGAGCAAACAGGAUUAGAAACCCCUGUAGUCCC